RNAcentral lists this long non-coding RNA (5612 nucleotides) under Dicentrarchus labrax (European seabass). RNAcentral's name for it is "lncRNA (ENSDLAG00005035096.1)". The record is from RNAcentral. Lineage: Eukaryota; Metazoa; Chordata; Actinopteri; Moronidae.
GAAAAAAAAAAAAAACAGAAACAUUACAAAACAAAAAGCACAUUUGUUUGAACUUGGCUGUUCAAAAUCUUUGAAAGAAUCCAAAUCAAAUGUCUGUUGGAUUAAAUUGACAUGUACCUUUCAGUCACAGACUGGCUCCCAGUAUGACUCUGUGGAUCUGUGUGAAUGUCACUGGAACAUCUUACAGGAAGGACAGAUAGUAACUAUUGAUUGUUCAUCUUUCCAACAGCACUGCGGGAUGGAAACACCGGUCUCAUUAAUGCAGAAAACCUCAUCCGUACAGGAAGUGAAGGAGGAAACAUUAUAGUUGGAUGCUCCUUCUCUUUCUCUGGAAGCAGGAAGAUCUUCUGUAAGAGAGAAUGUGAAGGAAAAUACAUUCUUAUUCAAACAGAUGAGGACAGAGCUCAGAAUGACAGAUACAGCAUUGAAUAUAAAGAAGGAACUUUUCCAGCAUCUAAAACAAUUCUGUAUGUGAGCAUCACAAACCUGACUAAGUCUGACUCGGGGCGGUACAGAUGUUGGUUGGACAGAAAAUGGUCACCAGAUUCAACCGAGGACUUUGAGCUCAGAGUUGAAGAUGCUCCAACCACUUCAAAACCAAACUGGAAAAUCACCACCAAAGCACCUUUUACACCAUCAGUGUCUCAGAGUUUAAGCUCCAGUUCUGGAAGCUCCACACCUUCAUCAUCCUCCCCUGAAACCACCAACCAGUCAAACAGUUUGUUCUUGAUUUUUCCGUACACAAUCUCCCAGUUAACUGAACCACACUGUAGAGUUGCAUUAUGGCUGCUUGCAGUAAAUGUGAAAUGUUUUUUAACUCAUUAAAACUUGCCUUCUUCCAACUUUCCUUUAACAUCAUGAAUCAAAGUUAUUCCAGAUUUUCAAAACUGGUAAACAACAAAAAACCAAUCACAGCUUGAGUUGUCCUCUCAGAGCUGAGUGACAAUACAAACCAACCAAUAGUGUGCCAUGUAUCUGUGAAGCAGCUAACAGGUUUAACGUAUCAAAUAGAUUAAAAUAUCCAUUUAUAACAAACUGAACAGCUGCAUCAAUCUCAUUUAUGCUUCUAUUUGUGUUUGUUUACUUGGUGAUGUUUUAUUCUGCAGCGUAAAAUCUGUACAUGCAUGUGUGUGUUUAUGCAUGUAUGUAGAACAUAAACAUUAUACAACUUAAGUUUAUUGUUGGUUGAGAGAUCUUUUACAUGAAUGGACUCUCAGGUCCCACAUGUACCUGAGAGUCCAGGUAUGCAGACUCCCAGAUAUUUCAUAAUGAACCAGAAAGUGGAAACCAAACCUGUUCUACAACCACAGGUGUGCAGCUGUAUGUGCGUCUGACUGUGGUCGUCAUGAUCAUCGUAUUAUCAGCGUCUGUGCUGAUAUUCUGCAGGAAGAGGGCCAGUGAACCCAAAGGUGAGACUGCAGGAAACAGAACAAACACAACUGAAUGUCACGUGAAAUAAAUAUACUCACAUAUUUUCUUCACACUCAAAGAAGUUAGCCUAUGUUUAACACAAUUCAUGUGCAAUUUGACCUUACCUUGGAAAGAGAAAGUUUAUUUACAAGGAAAAAUUAUAUUUUCCCCCAAGUUACAUGUUUUAUGAGCCUGGAUCAAGUUCUCUAACAGAAAUGAAUGCAUACAAGUUAAGUAGUAAAGUGCAGUGGACCUAAUCUUCUGAAGUGCAUGUUUUUCAGAACCUGCUGUGGAGUAUGUUAAUGUCACCGAGGUGAGUUUGAGUAAAUUUGGGCCCAUGAGCGUUAUUAGUGUUUGUGAAACCAGCUGAUUUUAAUACAAAGCCCUGUUCUCUUCCUGCAGGCCAGGAUCAGAGAGGAGGACAGACAGAGCAGAUCUCCUCCUGAAGAAAUGUCUACAGUUUACAUUCACUGCAGCCAGUUCUCAGAAUAAGGUGAGUUAAAAACUGUGGUAGGGGUUUAAAGGUCCAGGAAAAACCAAACAGGUUGUUUUUCAGUUGGUUACAAUCUGCAAUCUCAUCACUAGAUGACACUAAAUCCUACACACUGCUCAUUUAACUUUGGGUUUAGACAACAGUGUCUUUAGACUUCACCCACUAUAAUAAGUUGAGUAGAUAACAACGUACAGCAGAGGGAUGAUUUACAGUGGCAGUAUAGAGGGAAGACUGUGGAUAUGUUUUAAAAAUGGUAACGUGCUUUCUGUUUAAGAAACUGAAACAAGGUCAGUUUGUGAUCAAAUCUCCAGCUACAAGAUUCUGUGAGUUUAAGGAGGAAGUCCUCGGACUGAAUGUUUCGUUGCAAAGAGAGAGAGAAAGGUUGUGUACUGAGAUACAGGGUUCAAUAUCAAAUAAAGAAUGUGUAGAUAAAAGCCUGUUUACAGUUUAAAUGAAGCAGCACACAUGCUGAAAUGAUGCUUAUGUGACCAAACAGGUGAGUAAACUCAACAACCAGCUGACUGAUGCUGAGGGGCUUCCUGUCUUGGGACCACAGGAAGGGCAGUUAUUGUAACUGACUGUUAACAUGAAUGUUUGAGCUGAAAUAUAGAACCAUAAAAUAUGAAUAACCCACACUGAAACAUCAGACUGUAGUUGUUUAAACAGCCUGCACUACAGUUGUGUGGAAGUGCAUUGAGUUGCAGUACCACCAGUGGCCACUAGAGGCCGGCUGCAACAACCUCUGGUUCUAUGAUAAACUUCACACUGGAAAUAAAAGAGAACCAUGAAACUGUGAAAAUUAACUUCACACACAACUGACAGUGUUCAAUACUGGAUUUAAGAUGCUGAUAGAAAUACUUUAUUCUUUUAAAAUUAUGAUAACCUGCUGACAUUGUUUUGUUUUUUACUUUAAAAAAAUAAAGCUUCCAGUUGUUAUUCAGACUAAAACAGUCAGUGAGUGAUAACCUUUGACCUCUGUUUGUUUUCUUCCAGACUUUCAGUAAACUCACCUACUCUGAGCUCCAACAGUGCAGCUGCCUGGUUCAACAGCGCCCCCUGUGGUGAUGCAGAUAAUGUGGUCCACUCUCUGGUUUAUGUUAGAUGAAGGUGAAAAGCAUUUGAGCACCUCCCAGUGGUUGGUUGGUCAUUUAUGAUCACAUGGAUAGGGUCAUAGUUGAGAGCAGCCAUUUGUGUGGAGGUUUGCACAGUAAGGAGCUCCAGAACUUUCUCCGUUUAAUCCUUCGCUGCCUGUUGAGCCACAGAGAAACUUUGUGUGUACGUUUAUAUUACUGAAUGAGAAAUGAUGCGUAUUUUGUUAUUAUUAUUUUAUAUUUUCGUAAAUUUAUAUGAGCUUAGUGAUUAAAUAUAUAUUAUUCAUCUUGUAUAAACACAGAGCUCUAACUCAUUUCUCUGCUACUUUUAUUUUCAGUUGAACUAAACUGUAAGAUUGGUUUAUCAGAAUGUGUAACUGUUACACUGCAACUCUGCACAACCCUGCUGAUCCACUGAAUAGGUUUCAUUUUUUAUUUUUGACUUCAAAUGUAAACAAGCAAAAUUUAUUAAUUCCACUAUAAAUGUUAUGUAAUUUCUUUAACUUCAGUGUUUGUAGGCGUAAUAAGCUAUUUUUUUUUAAUCAAUUGAGUCUUUAUUUCUGUAAUAUACUGUAUGUGGGGAACUUGUUCUCUGAAGUUCUGUUUUUCCUGAUUUUAGUUUUGCUUCAUCUCAGGAAAAAGUCUGCAGUGAUUGAAUCAAGUUUGUAUGAAAGUGGUGUGGCGCCCAAUUUCCUUAUAAUAAAUCCUUUUUUGCCACAUGUAGCGCAGCCAUCAUUCUAACUGACGCAGAUCUUCAAGUAAACUGCUCUCAACUUUACUUCCCAGCUGACCAUUUGACCCUUUCAGUGCCUCAUUUCUGUAGUGAUUUGCAGAAAAGCUGUAAUAGAAAAAGUAAAAUGUAGUGUUGAAACAGGAAGUUUGGUCUUUAUAAAGUGUGGAUGAAUGUCUAUGAGGAAGAUGACCAUGUUUGAAGUUUCUGGGAUAAUUUUUUCUUUUUUUUCAAUCCCUUUUCCUUCAAGAUCACAGAUAUAAAUCAAAUCCGCCUUUUUUGUAGGAAGCGGUAGGUUGUUUGCGGUGGUGGCUGGUGACAAGUGUUCUAGGUGGGGCUUUGCCAUAUACAGUCAGUUUCAGUAACCAUCCUAUUACAAUGUAACACAAACUGCAGGAUACCCGAGCACUGAGACAUAGUAAUAAUUUAAUGCCAAUAUUAAAAAAUGAAGGCAUUCUGAAACAAAAACUUAAACUUUCCAUUUGCAUUUGAAACUGAACUUGUAAACAGUUGACUCUUUUUUACACAUACCAUCUGUUCUUGACUGUUACUCCAGUGCCCCCUUGUGGCAGCAGCACACAGCUGAGGACAUGAAGAAUGCAGAUAAAUAGACAAUGCAAGAGGCACACCAUCAGCAGAGUGAAAAGUUAACUUUAUACUAUAAUAUCAAAUUAUAAUUACAAACAGCUGGUUAGUUAUCGAUGGAAGCUUCUAGCCUGCAGUGAUGUGAUGCAGUUUAUUUGCCUCCUUUUAAAAAGCCUGUUUUGAUCUGUUAUCAGUCUGAAUGCAGAAAUUGCUUCAGGGAGUCUACUGGACCAUUUCUCACCGCUCCAGUUGUAACGCUUUAAAAAUAUGUUGAAUUUAAUAGAUCAACCUCUUUUGAUGCUGUAUGUUACACAAAUGAUCUGUUUUCUUGAGUAUAAAAUAAAAAUGUUUUUUUUUCCCCAAUACAUUUAUAGAACUCAGUAAUGGACAAAAUGUCUUCAGAUAGAGAUUUCUAGUAGUGUAGAUGUACUAUACUGAUUUAUGUUACUAUAAUAUGACUUUAAAGCUACGUUAAGUUACAAUGAAGCAGCAUGUUAAUGUAAAAUCAUACAUAACGUUUAAAAUUGGAUCUGCAGAGGACAAAAGACUAAUAAAGAGUAGAGAAGAGUUCAGUGCUGUUUGGAGGAGGGACUCCAUCAUUUAGAGAAGUGAGGAGUUCCUGGUUUACCAGUGAAGACGGAAGAGAGGCAGCGAUAAACCAUCAGAGCCUCCAACAUGAAAGUCUGUCACACUUUGAUCUGCUUCUUCUUCCUCUGUGAGUACACUCUCCUUCUGUCUCUAUCAUUCUCUCUCUUUAUUUUAUCAGUUUUCUGUAAUUUUUUUAUAGUUGGUCAGUUAGCUUUGUGUAGCAUGUUAAAAAAUGGACUCUGUUGUGUCACAUCUCAUCUCAGUCUUGCUUGAUUGUUCUCUGUCUCUGUCUCACACAUCGUUGGUUUCUGUGGUUGAACACGAUGUUCAGAGUCACUUUAAAAUGUACAGGUACUAGUUAUCUCCUCAAAAUCUUAGCCUGCCAAUCUGCAACCAACUAUUGUUCUUCUGUACAUGUUUUAUAGUUUAAUUGUUACUGCUGACUGUUGCAGUCUCAUAGAAGUAGCAGAAAGAUUAUUUCUUACAUAGUAAUAUAGAAACCUCCAAGUUGCACUAAAAUACAUCUUAGCAACUUUUUCAGAACUGUGCAGAGUCAAUGCCUCUUCCUUUAGUUAACUUGCAGUUUGCUAAACCACUUUGGUCAACCUUCUUAGAGCAAAAGAGAGAAAACAAUUAACCUUUAUUAUUUGAUUUCAACCAGCUCCAGAGGAAGAACUGCAGCAGUGAACCACAGUUAGAAACCUUGCUGACAAAC